RNAcentral lists this ribosomal RNA (374 nucleotides) under uncultured delta proteobacterium. Its description in RNAcentral is "bacterial SSU rRNA". It matches the Rfam family "Bacterial small subunit ribosomal RNA", at positions 521 to 896 of the family's 1533-position model. The record is from RNAcentral. Lineage: Bacteria; Deltaproteobacteria.
UAAUACGGAGGGUGCAAGCGUUGUUCGGAUUUAUUGGGCGUAAAGAGCAUGUAGGCGGUCUGUUAAGUUAGAGGUGAAAGCCCCGGGCUCAACCCGGGAAGUGCCUUUGAUACUGGCAGACUUGAGUACGGGAGAGGGUAGUGGAAUUCCAAGUGUAGAGGUGGAAUUCGUAGAUAUUUGGAGGAACACCAGUGGCGAAGGCGGCUACCUGGACCGAUACUGACGCUGAGAUGCGAAAGCGUGGGGAGCAAACAGGAUUAGAUACCCUGGUAGUCCACGCCCUAAACGAUGAGUACUAGGUGUUGCGGGCUUGACCUGCAGUGUCGCAGCUAACGCAUUAAGUACUCCGCCUGGGAAGUACGGCCGCAAGGCUA